AAACCAAAUGGGAUUCCUUAAGUAAUGGCGAAUGAACAAGGAACUGCUCAACUUGAAAAUCGGGGCUUCUGGCCUUGAAUUGUAAUUUUGAAAUGUAUUGCCAAUGGAGGCGCAGGUGCAAGCCAAUUGAAAGAAAGCGUCAAAGAAGGUGAAAAUCCUUUUUGUCAUUUGCAGCCCUCCGUGCACGGUAUAUAUUUGACGAGUCACACUCCUCGGCAUUGGAAUGCAAAGUGGGUGGUAAAUUUCAUGUAAAGAUUAAUAUAUUAUUGAGACUGAUAGCGAACAAGUACCAUGAGGGAAAUAUGAAAAGGACUUUGAAAAGAGAAUUAAAAGAGUCUGCACUUGCUGAACAGAAAGCAAACAGAAGUGAUUAUGCUUGGUAAGAUUGUUGCGUCUUGUUGUUCUGCAACUUGGGCGCAGUGGUUCUUACCUUGUCUGCCAGCAUCUUUUCUGCAAAUCAGAACCCUGGCACAUGACUGGUAAUUCGCCUGCGGGUGUUGGAAUGCAUGUGUUUGCUAUGAUUUGUGAUUAGAUUUGUGCGUGUGGUGCUUCGGUGUGUGGCUCUUUGUUGGGGAGGAAUUCUCCUCCGCCCUGCUGAAUCCCUUGCGCUACAUCG
This 616-nucleotide ribosomal RNA is filed under the name Alexandrium andersonii. RNAcentral's name for it is "partial large subunit ribosomal RNA". It matches the Rfam family "Eukaryotic large subunit ribosomal RNA", at positions 62 to 619 of the family's 3401-position model. The record is from RNAcentral. Lineage: Eukaryota; Dinophyceae; Gonyaulacales; Pyrocystaceae.